RNAcentral lists this ribosomal RNA (451 nucleotides) under uncultured bacterium. RNAcentral describes it as "bacterial SSU rRNA". It matches the Rfam family "Bacterial small subunit ribosomal RNA", at positions 32 to 507 of the family's 1533-position model. The record is from RNAcentral.
AAUCAACGCUGGCGGCGUGCCUAACACAUGCAAGUCGAACGAGAAAGGGGGCUUCGGUCCCUGAGUACAGUGGCGCACGGGUGAGUAACACGUGACUUAUCUACCCUCGAGUGGGGAAUAACUUCGGGAAACCGAGGCUAAUACCGCAUAAUACCCACGGGUCAAAGGAGCAAUUCGCUUGAGGAGGAGGUCGCGGCCGAUUAGUUAGUUGCGGGGUAAUGGCCCCACCCAAGACGGUGAUCGGUAUCCGGCCUGAGAGGGCGCACGGACACACUGGAACUGAAACACGGUCCAGACUCCUACGGGAGGCAGCAGUGGGGAAGUUUUGCGCAAUGGGGGAAACCCUGACGCAGCAACGCCGCGUGGAGGAUGAAGUCUCUUGGGACGUAAACUCCUUUCGAUCGGGACGAUUAUGACGGUACCGGAAGAAGAAGCCCCGGCUAACUUCGUG